GGACAAGAAGAUCCUUCAAUUACCUUGGUGACGGUGGUGCAGCUUAGGUUUGUCACUAAAUAUAUCUCAAACAGUAUGAUAUUUCCCCUUAAGAAGUGUUCUCCCUAGUAGCUCUAGGAGAGACAGUUUUGGCAUGUUCUAAAUUACUGUGAUCUCAUAGUGUUCACCCUUGUAAAUGAUGUGCUCUGUGAUUCAUAUUCAUAGUUUACUCUUAGAAAGUGUCUCAUGAUUUUGUUUCACAUCUUCUUGUAUUCUCGACGGGAUAUUAUAAGAAUUUACCAAAGAAGAAUGAAUUGAUGAGUUGAAUUGAUUUAAAUAAGACAUAGCAGGGAAGGUGGGCAGGGCAUCUGGCAUGGAGCUAAAAAAGUAUAUAUGUUCUCGAAGUGGAUUAAAGGUGGUUUGUUAGGGGAGAACAUCAUAUGUUGAACUUUACCAACAGAAAACCAAUGCGUACCAAGUAAAUACUCUGUAGAGUUUUCUUUGAUUCUAUAUGCUCUGAAUCAAAAUUAAAUUAUAGUGUCAAGUUUUAAUUUUGUUGAUAAACUUUGUCGAACUUUUCAAUCAAGUGAUUAUAGUAUUGUCUUGUACAUGCUUCAAACCUUGUUAUGUAAAUUUGUUCUUCUAUGGUUG
This is a long non-coding RNA of Papaver somniferum (opium poppy), 630 nucleotides long. RefSeq lists it as uncharacterized. The transcript is spliced from 2 exons. The record is from RefSeq and is a predicted model, not a curated record. NCBI's taxonomy places the organism in Eukaryota, Viridiplantae, Streptophyta, Magnoliopsida, Ranunculales, Papaveraceae.